Molecule: unclassified non-coding RNA, 520 nt
Filed under: uncultured Glomus
Lineage: Eukaryota; Fungi; Glomeromycota; Glomeromycetes; Glomerales; Glomeraceae
Description: SSU rRNA
Rfam family: Eukaryotic small subunit ribosomal RNA
Source: RNAcentral
AGCAGCCGCGGUAAUUCCAGCUCCAAUAGCGUAUAUUAAAGUUGUUGCAGUUAAAAAGCUCGUAGUUGAAUUUCGGGAUUAAUAUGUUGGUCGUGCCUUGGUACGUACUGGCAUUAUUGAUUCCUACCUUCUGAAGAACCUCGAUGUCAUUAAUUUGGUGUCUUGGGGAAUCAGGACCGUUACUUUGAAAAAAUUAGAGUGUUUAAAGCAGGCUCGCGCUUGAAUACAUUAGCAUGGAAUAAUGAAAUAGGACGUUUGAUUCUAUUUUGUUGGUUUCUAGGAUCGACGUAAUGAUUAAUAGGGAUAGUUGGGGGCAUUAGUAUUCAAUUGUCAGAGGUGAAAUUCUUGGAUUUAUUGAAGACUGACUACUGCGAAAGCAUUUGCCAAGGAUGUUUUCAUUAAUCAAGAACGAAAGUUAGGGGAUCGAAGACGAUCAGAUACCGUCGUAGUCUUAACCAUAAACUAUGCCGACUAGGGAUCGGAUGAUGUUAAUUUUUUAAUGUACUCAUUCGGCGCCUUA